GAUGAACGCUGGCGGCGUGCCUAAUACAUGCAAGUCGAGCGAACGGACGAGAAGCUUGCUUCUCUGAUGUUAGCGGCGGACGGGUGAGUAACACGUGAAUAACCUACCUAUAAGACUGGGAUAACUUCGGGAAACCGUAGCUAAUACCGGAUAAUAUUUUGAACCGCAUGGUUCAAAAGUGAAAGACGGUCUUGCUGUCACUUAUAGAUGGAUCCGCGCUGCAUUAGCUAGUUGGUAAGGUAACGGCUUACCAAGGCAACGAUGCAUAGCCGACCUGAGAGGGUGAUCGGCCACACUGGAACUGAGACACGGUCCAGACUCCUACGGGAGGCAGCAGUAGGGAAUCUUCCGCAAUGGGCGAAAGCCUGACGGAGCAACGCCGCGUGAGUGAUGAAGGUCUUCGGAUCGUAAAACUCUGUUAUUAGGGAAGAACAUAUGUGUCAGUAACUGUGCACAUCUUGACGGUACCUAAUCAGAAAGCCACGGCUAACUACGUG
Molecule: ribosomal RNA, 497 nt
Filed under: uncultured bacterium
Lineage: Bacteria
Description: partial 16S ribosomal RNA
Rfam family: Bacterial small subunit ribosomal RNA
Source: RNAcentral